ACGUAGGUGGCAAGCGUUACUCGGAAUCACUAGGCGUAAAGCGCGUGUAGGCGGGCAGUUAAGUCCAACGUUAAAUCUCCCGGCUCAACCGGGAACGGUCGUUGGAUACUGAUUGUCUUGAGUGAUGCAGGGGAAACUGGAAUUCCCGGUGUAGCAGUGAAAUGCGUAGAGAUCGGGAGGAACACCAGUGGCGAAGGCGGGUUUCUGGGCAUCCACUGACGCUGAAGCGCGAAAGCUAGGGGAGCAAACAG
This 251-nucleotide ribosomal RNA is filed under the name uncultured prokaryote. Its description in RNAcentral is "partial 16S rRNA". It matches the Rfam family "Bacterial small subunit ribosomal RNA", at positions 525 to 775 of the family's 1533-position model. The record is from RNAcentral.